RNAcentral lists this ribosomal RNA (497 nucleotides) under uncultured bacterium. RNAcentral's name for it is "partial 16S ribosomal RNA". It matches the Rfam family "Bacterial small subunit ribosomal RNA", at positions 28 to 507 of the family's 1533-position model. The record is from RNAcentral.
GAUGAACGCUGGCGGCGUGCCUAAUACAUGCAAGUCGAGCGAACGGACGAUAAGCUUUCUUCUCUGAUGUUAGCGGCGGACGGGUGAGUAACACGUGGAUAACCUACCUAUAAGACUGGGAUAACUUCGGGAAACCGGAGCUAAUACCGGAUAAUAUUUUGAACCGCAUGGUUCAAAAGUGAAAGACGGUCUUGCUGUCACUUAUAGAUGGAUCCGCGCUGCAUUAGCUAGUUGGUAAGGUAACGGCUUACCAAGGCGACGAUGCAUAGCUGACCUGAGAGGAUGAUCAGCCACACUGGAACUGAGACACGGUCCAGACUCCUACGGGAGGCAGCAGUAGGGAAUAUUCGGCAAAGGGCGCAAGCCUGAUGCAGCCACACCGCGUGAGUGAAGAAGGUCUUCGGAUCGUAAAACUCUGUUGUUGGGGAAGAACAGAUGUGUGAGAAAAUGUGGACAUUUUGACGGUACCUAAAGAGAAAGCCACGGCUAACUUCGUG